This 566-nucleotide ribosomal RNA is filed under the name uncultured bacterium. RNAcentral describes it as "bacterial SSU rRNA". It matches the Rfam family "Bacterial small subunit ribosomal RNA", at positions 338 to 916 of the family's 1533-position model. The record is from RNAcentral.
CCUACGGGAGGCAGCAGUUGGGAAUUUUGCACAAUGGACGAAAGUCUGAUGCAGCAACGCCGCGUGCGGGAUGAAGAUUUUCGGAUUGUAAACCGCUUUUAUUUGGGAGUAACUGUUUGAACGUACCAAAUGAAUAAGCACCGGCUAACUCCGUGCCAGCAGCCGCGGUAAUACGGAGGGUGCAAACGUUGUCCGGAAUUACUGGGCGUAAAGCGCAUGUAGGUGGUCUAAUAAGUGAACGAUUAAAUACCGACGCUUAACGCCGGAAAGGUUAUUCAUACUGUUAGACUCGAGGAAGACAGGGGCAGAUGGAACUUUAAGUGUAGGAGUGAUAUCCGUAGAUAUUUAAAGGAACACCAAUGGCGAAGGCAGUCUGCUGGGUCUUUUCUGACACUGAGAUGCGAAAGUGUGGGGAGCAAACGGGAUUAGAUACCCGGUAGUCCACACUGUAAACGAUGCUCACUAGGUCUUGGAGGGUAUCGACCCCCUUUUGGACCGUAAGCUAACGCGUUAAGUGAGCCGCCUGGGGAGUACGAACGCAAGUUUAAACUCAAAGGAAUUGACGG